CAGCAGCCGCGGUAAAACGAAGGGUGCAAGCGUUAAUCGGAAUUACUGGGCGUAAAGCGUGCGUAGGCGGUGAGUUAAGUCUGCUGUGAAAUCCCCGGGCUCAACCUGGGAAUGGCAGUGGAUACUGGCUCGCUAGAGUGUGUCAGAGGAUGGUGGAAUUCCCGGUGUAGCGGUGAAAUGCGUAGAGAUCGGGAGGAACAUCAGUGGCGAAGGCGGCCAUCUGGGACAACACUGACGCUGAGGCACGAAAGCGUGGGGAGCAAACAGGAUUAGAUACCCCCGUAGUCCCUGUCUCUUAUAC
Molecule: ribosomal RNA, 301 nt
Filed under: uncultured bacterium
Lineage: Bacteria
Description: partial 16S ribosomal RNA
Rfam family: Bacterial small subunit ribosomal RNA
Source: RNAcentral